Limulus polyphemus (Atlantic horseshoe crab) is the source of this 208-nucleotide long non-coding RNA. RefSeq lists it as uncharacterized. The transcript is spliced from 2 exons. The record is from RefSeq and is a predicted model, not a curated record. Lineage: Eukaryota; Metazoa; Arthropoda; Merostomata; Xiphosura; Limulidae.
UUCGCAAGACUGAACAGAAUCAAACUCGUAUGAUGAGCAAGAUUGAUCAACUCAUGAGGAAAAGUGGCUUAGUGAGCCAGACAACAGAAUUUAGAAGUGAAGUUGGAUGAUCCAAGAAUGUGUUACCAACAAUUUAAGCACAAUUGGGGGCUCCACUUUUAAAGAAGCAACUUGGUAUAACUUAUGCCACAUUUUAACCAAUGGGUAU